CGGGGUGUGGCGCAGUUGGUAGCGUACUUGACUGGGGGUCAAGGGGUCGCAGGUUCAAGUCCUGUCACCCCGACCA
Molecule: transfer RNA, 76 nt
Filed under: Candidatus Sumerlaeota bacterium
Lineage: Bacteria; Candidatus Sumerlaeota
Description: tRNA-Pro
Rfam family: tRNA
About the family: Transfer RNA (tRNA) molecules are approximately 80 nucleotides in length.
Source: RNAcentral